Molecule: ribosomal RNA, 491 nt
Filed under: uncultured bacterium
Lineage: Bacteria
Description: partial 16S ribosomal RNA
Rfam family: Bacterial small subunit ribosomal RNA
Source: RNAcentral
GAUGAACGCUGGCUACAGGCUUAACACAUGCAAGUCGAGGGGAAACGACGGGGAAGCUUGCUUCUCCGGGCGUCGACCGGCGCACGGGUGAGUAACGCGUAUCCAACCUGCCUCUGACUGAGGGAUAACCCGUCGAAAGUCGGCCUAAUACCUCAUGGCAUCGUCUGCGGGCAUCCAACGACGAUUAAAGAUUUCAUCGGUCAGGGAUGGGGAUGCGUCUGAUUAGCUUGUUGGCGGGGUAACGGCCCACCAAGGCUACGAUCAGUAGGGGUUCUGAGAGGAAGGUCCACCACAUUGGAGCUGAGACACAGACCAAACUCCUACGGGAGGCAGCAGUGAGGAAUAUUAGUGGAUGGGCGGGAGCCUGAACAAGCCGAGUAGCGUGCAGGAGGACGGCCCUAUGGGUUGUAAACUGCUUUUAUGCGGGGAUAAAGUGAGGGAAGUGUCCUUCAUUGCAGGUACCGCAUGAAUAAGGACCGGCUAAUUCCGUG